Non-coding RNA from Oryza glumipatula, 194 nucleotides. NCBI's taxonomy places the organism in Eukaryota, Viridiplantae, Streptophyta, Magnoliopsida, Poales, Poaceae. The record is from Rfam.
AAUAAACGCAGCCGCGGGUUUCAGUGUCCAACUUUAACCAUUCAUCUUAUUUAAAAUAAUUUUAUGAUUAUUAUUUUUGUGUUUUAUUGGAUGAUAAAAUAUGAAUAGUACUUUAUAAGUGACUUAACUUUUAAAAUUUUUUAAAUAAGACGACGGUCAAACGUUGAGCAUGAAAACUUAUAGGUGCACUUAAU